RNAcentral lists this long non-coding RNA (683 nucleotides) under Elaeis guineensis (African oil palm). RNAcentral describes it as "long non-coding RNA (EGUI_LNC005259)". Lineage: Eukaryota; Viridiplantae; Streptophyta; Magnoliopsida; Arecales; Arecaceae. The record is from RNAcentral.
AUACAUUGAUAGAUAAUGCCAAAUACAAUCUUGUUUCAGCUUACAAACCCUUAUACGAAGACAUACACUAUCAUGACAAGGAUGUUUGACAAAAUGAAACAUUAGGUCUAUAGACUAAGAAAAUCAGCAAAUACAUGAUUAAAAAAUCAAAAACACCAAGCAUAUUACAUCCGUUCCUAUUUUUCCAAAUAUUAACUUGUCUUUUUAGAUCAGCCAUCUAUUUUUCAAGGUUAGAUAUCUUAGAUUUCAAAUUUUUCUUCUCCACCCGCAAGACCUACUUAUCAGCCUCCAACCUAUCAAUCCUUUUCUGCAAUUUAUGGAUAAUCUUGAAUGCAUGCCCAUCCAACUUCGGAUCUAACCAUUGAAAAUAAUUGUAAUCUCCACCAAUCUAAGAAAGAAAACAACCACGGCUGCAAUAUGGAUUCGUAAAUAUCCAUGAUCCUCAAAUCGAGUAAAACACAAAAAAAAAUCAAAUUCCUUACCUCAUAAUUAGGGCAUGCCCAAAAUCUCCUUCUUGAAUUCAUAGAUGUCUACGAUGUCUUUCUCACGGGUGCAAGACGGCAACGGCACAUCUUUGGGGUUGCACUAAUGGCUGACGUUCUCCUUUCCACAUGCUCGACGAGGAUAAACUCAUCUCUAAUCCGUCUGAAACCUAGGUAGGGAGAGGGAUAGAGACAGCAGGG